CGGCCGCAGUACUCUGACUGUGCAAAGGUAGCAUAAUCAAUUGACUUUUAAUUGGAGUCUAGUAUGAAUGGAUUUACGUAAAAGUUCUGUCUCAAUUAAAAUUUUCUAAAAUUUUUUAGAAGGUGAAAAAACUUUCAGUAUUUAAAAGACGAGAAGACCCUAAGAAUUUUAAAAAAAUUAGUCUAUCUUUUUUGCUGGGGCGGCAGUGGAUCAAGGAACAUCCAUAUUAUCGAGUUUUCGUGUUUUAAAUUACCUUAGGGAUAACAGCACAAUUGUUACCUCGAUGUUGGACUAGGA
Molecule: ribosomal RNA, 297 nt
Filed under: Sarasinula plebeia
Lineage: Eukaryota; Metazoa; Mollusca; Gastropoda; Systellommatophora; Veronicellidae
Description: partial 16S ribosomal RNA
Rfam family: Bacterial large subunit ribosomal RNA
Source: RNAcentral